CACACAGCGGCCUCCUUCUCUCCCGUUCAGACACCGGUGAUCGGAUUCUUUUCCGGUGUCGAUCUCCGGCCAGCGACACACCACCAUCAUCCUCCUCCUACUUCAUUCCUAUAACACCCACACCCACAUUCUCGUUCCUUCGUUGUCCGACGACAAGAUCAACAGAGAAGGAGGAGUGAGGUGAGAGAGAAACAGAGGGAGCGGCGGAGAUAGGCACCGCACGGAUGGUAGUGACGGCAGUGGUGGCCGCCUCGUUCCAAUUUUGAUUCGGAUUGUUUUGACACGGGUCUACGGCGGACGAACGAAGCCGCCGUGCGGCGGCAGUGGUGGUUCUUCUUGUGUCUUGGCUUGGAUCCGGUUGUUUCAGUUUUGGUUUGGGUAUAUUUUGUUUGAGUCCAGUUCAAAGGUCUCGUUGGAAACAAACUGCUUCGCCAUGUUUCGGUUGAUUAUUGAAGUAUGGAUGAAUGAUGAAACAAGUUAGGGUGGACUAGAUACACAUCUAGAAUAUUCUAUCUUUUGUUUGUUAUGUUACUUGUUGAAACAAUGUUGUUAUUUCUUUUUUUGAAUCAUGUAUGACAUUUAGUUUUGAAAUGAAAUUUGAAUUUAAU
Molecule: long non-coding RNA, 608 nt
Filed under: Helianthus annuus (common sunflower)
Lineage: Eukaryota; Viridiplantae; Streptophyta; Magnoliopsida; Asterales; Asteraceae
Description: hypothetical non coding rna
Source: RNAcentral